This 334-nucleotide ribosomal RNA is filed under the name Chorismagrion risi. RNAcentral's name for it is "partial 12S ribosomal RNA". The record is from RNAcentral. Lineage: Eukaryota; Metazoa; Arthropoda; Insecta; Odonata; Synlestidae.
GUAUUAGUUAUGUUCUUGAAACUCAUAGGAUUUGGCGGUAUUUUAGUCUUUUCAGAGGAACCUGCCCCGUAAUUCGACACCCCACGUUUAUAUUUACUUUUGUUUGUUUAUCAGUUUGUAUACCUCCGUCAUAAGAGAGUCUUUUUAGAGCAAAUUUUCCUUUUCUUUUAAUGAGAAUAUGUCAGGUCAAGGUGCAAUUUAUACAGAAGUGGAGGUGGGUUACAAUAUAUUUAAUGUAUAUGGAUUAGUGAUUUUGUGUUGCUAUGAAGGUGGAUUUGAUAGUAAGAUUAGUUAUUUAGCUUUUCUGGCUUAUAGCUCUAAGAUAUGCACACAU